GAUGAACGCUGGCGGCGUGCCUAAUACAUGCAAGUCGAGCGAACAGACGAGGAACUUGCUCCUCUGACGUUAGCGGCGGACGGGUGAGUAACACGUGGAUAACCUACCUAUAAGACUGGGAUAACUUCGGGAAACCGGAGCUAAUACCGGAUAAUAUAUUGAACCGCAUGGUUCAAUAGUGAAAGACGGUUUUGCUGUCACUUAUAGAUGGAUCCGCGCCGCAUUAGCUAGUUGGUAAGGUAACGGCUUACCAAGGCAACGAUGCGUAGCCGACCUGAGAGGGUGAUCGGCCACACUGGAACUGAGACACGGUCCAGACUCCUACGGGAGGCAGCAGUAGGGAAUCUUCCGCAAUAGGCGAAAGCCUGACGGAGCAACGCCGCGUGAGUGAUGAAGGUCUUCGGAUCGUAAAACUCUGUUAUUAGGGAAGAAUAAAUGUGUAAGUAACUAUGCACGUCUUGACGGUACCUAAUCAGAAAGCCACGGCUAACUACGUG
This 497-nucleotide ribosomal RNA is filed under the name uncultured bacterium. Its description in RNAcentral is "partial 16S ribosomal RNA". It matches the Rfam family "Bacterial small subunit ribosomal RNA", at positions 28 to 507 of the family's 1533-position model. The record is from RNAcentral.